This 640-nucleotide ribosomal RNA is filed under the name Escherichia coli. RNAcentral's name for it is "partial 23S ribosomal RNA". It matches the Rfam family "Bacterial large subunit ribosomal RNA", at positions 2309 to 2925 of the family's 2925-position model. Lineage: Bacteria; Pseudomonadati; Pseudomonadota; Gammaproteobacteria; Enterobacterales; Enterobacteriaceae. The record is from RNAcentral.
CACGAAGGUUGGCUAAUCCUGGUCGGACAUCAGGAGGUUAGUGCAAUGGCAUAAGCCAGCUUGACUGCGAGCGUGACGGCGCGAGCAGGUGCGAAAGCAGGUCAUAGUGAUCCGGUGGUUCUGAAUGGAAGGGCCAUCGCUCAACGGAUAAAAGGUACUCCGGGGAUAACAGGCUGAUACCGCCCAAGAGUUCAUAUCGACGGCGGUGUUUGGCACCUCGAUGUCGGCUCAUCACAUCCUGGGGCUGAAGUAGGUCCCAAGGGUAUGGCUGUUCGCCAUUUAAAGUGGUACGCGAGCUGGGUUUAGAACGUCGUGAGACAGUUCGGUCCCUAUCUGCCGUGGGCGCUGGAGAACUGAGGGGGGCUGCUCCUAGUACGAGAGGACCGGAGUGGACGCAUCACUGGUGUUCGGGUUGUCAUGCCAAUGGCACUGCCCGGUAGCUAAAUGCGGAAGAGAUAAGUGCUGAAAGCAUCUAAGCACGAAACUUGCCCCGAGAUGAGUUCUCCCUGACUCCUUGAGAGUCCUGAAGGAACGUUGAAGACGACGACGUUGAUAGGCCGGGUGUGUAAGCGCAGCGAUGCGUUGAGCUAACCGGUACUAAUGAACCGUGAGGCUUAACCUUACAACGCCGAAGGUGUUU